This 346-nucleotide unclassified non-coding RNA is filed under the name fungal sp. RNAcentral describes it as "partial internal transcribed spacer region". The stretch from base 1 to 46 matches the Rfam family "Eukaryotic small subunit ribosomal RNA", at positions 1786 to 1831 of the family's 1831-position model. The record is from RNAcentral. Lineage: Eukaryota; Fungi.
AAGUCGUAACAAGGUUUCCGUAGGUGAACCUGCGGAAGGAUCAUUAACACGUAUCCAACGUUAAACAACCCUGUGAACUUUCAACGCUCUUGUAGCCCCAGAGGAACAGCAAUCCCGGUAAAUCAAUGGCGGAAAAGUUUUGAUUCGGGACCUCUGUCCAAAAGGUAUCAAGUUACAAUCGAGCAGAGCAGUGGCAUGGUUUCCCUAAGCAGUGCAGAAGGAUCCACUGAGUAAGGAUAACGCAUCACGGUUGCCAGAGGUCGAUCACCGGCCGGCAGUCUCAAGCCUCGCGGAAACGCCGGGCAUAAAAACCGAACAACUGUUAACAAUGGAUAUCUUGGUUCUC